AGCGAACGUUUGCGGCGGGCCUAACACAUGCAAGUCGAACGCACUAGCAAUAGUGAGUGGCGCACGGGUGCGUAACACGUGGGUAAUCAACCCUUCAGCCUGGGAUAACGACUCGAGAGGGUCGCUAAUACCGGAUACGGCGCGAGAGGCUUCGGCUUCUCACGAGAAAGCCACGCAAGGGGCACUGAAGGACGAGCCUGCGGCCCAUCAGCUAGUUGGUGAGGUAAGAGCUCACCAAGGCUAAGACGGGUAGCUGGUCUGAGAGGAUGAUCAGCCACACUGGAACUGAGACACGGUCCAGACUCCUACGGGAGGCAGCAGUGGGGAAUAUUGCGCAAUGGGCGAAAGCCUGACGCAGCCACGCCGCGUGAGCGAUGAAGGCCUCGGUCGUAAGACUCUGUGGGAGGAGACGAAGAAAGACCUGUGAAGAGCAGGCCUUGACGGUAGUCUCCUUA
Molecule: ribosomal RNA, 455 nt
Filed under: uncultured bacterium
Lineage: Bacteria
Description: bacterial SSU rRNA
Rfam family: Bacterial small subunit ribosomal RNA
Source: RNAcentral